RNAcentral lists this ribosomal RNA (497 nucleotides) under uncultured bacterium. Its description in RNAcentral is "partial 16S ribosomal RNA". It matches the Rfam family "Bacterial small subunit ribosomal RNA", at positions 28 to 507 of the family's 1533-position model. The record is from RNAcentral.
GAUGAACGCUGGCGGCGUGCCUAAUACAUGCAAGUCGAGCGAACGGACGAGAAGCUUUCUUCUCUGAUGUUAGCGGCGGACGGGUGAUUAACACGUGUAUAACCUACCUUUAAGACUGGGAUAACUUCGCGAAACCGUAUCUAAUACCGGAUAAUAUUUUGAACCUCAUUGUUCAAAAGUGGUAUACGGUCUUUCUUUCACUUAUAGAUUGAUCCGCGCUGCAUUAGCUAGUUGGUAAGGUAACUGCUUACCAAGGCAACGAUGCAUAGCCGACCUGAGAGGGUGAUCGGCCAAACUGGAACUGAGACACGGUCCAGACUCCUACGGGAGGCAGCAGUAGGGAAUCUUCCGCAAUGGGCGAAAGGGUGACGGAGCAAAGCCGCGUGAGUGAUGAAGGUCUUCGGAUCGUAAAACUCUGUUAUUAGGGAAGAACAUAUGUGUAAGUAACUGUGCACAUAUUGACGGUACCUAAUCAGAAAGCCACGGCUAACUACGUG